AGGAUAAUAGUUAAUAAAUAACAUUUAAUUUGCAUUUAAAAAAAAUUGAAAAUUUCAAUUUAUCUUA
Molecule: transfer RNA, 67 nt
Filed under: Pyrrhalta aenescens
Lineage: Eukaryota; Metazoa; Arthropoda; Insecta; Coleoptera; Chrysomelidae
Description: tRNA-Ala
Source: RNAcentral